CCACCACAUGCCUCAUUUGAUGAAUCAGUCAAUCAAGGUUCUUUUUUUUAUUAACUAUGUUCACAUUUGUCAUGUUGAUUAUGAGCCCAAAGCUCAUGGAAGAACCUUCAGAAGACCCUCGAAGAGCAACUAAAGGAUGGAAACCUCUACCCUCUAUAAAUUCAAGACAUGACGACAGCAGCAAAAUGUGGUUGUGACUGGAGGGUACAAUAUUCUGCAUCCCCCAUCAACAAACAAUGGGUCAAAUUAAGACCCCUGUCCAGUGUGUGGAAAACCCUAAAGGAUCAGGUGGAGUGAUAAUAUACGACCGGGAGAAGUUAGCCAUGAACAAACAACACUUGGUGGCAGUUCUUCUCUCUAGAGGUGAAAAACUCUGUCAGACCAGUUCUGUUGUAAUGGCAAGUGAAGACAAGAACGAGAAAUGCCUCCCAAGACCUUAACAUCUCACCCUUUAUACUUCAAAUAAAGGCAUUUUACAAUCAUCUUUGUCUUCUGUGUC
RNAcentral lists this long non-coding RNA (499 nucleotides) under Sinocyclocheilus grahami. Its description in RNAcentral is "lncRNA (ENSSGRG00000045696.1)". Lineage: Eukaryota; Metazoa; Chordata; Actinopteri; Cypriniformes; Cyprinidae. The record is from RNAcentral.